CCGUGCCGGCAGGUCGCCGCUACUUGUUGCUUCGGCUCGCGCCGGGUGCGCUCGGUUCGGUUCGCCACGUCUCGUCGCGGCUCGGUUCGCAUCUCGGCCGCAGUCGGGCUGCGCACCCGGAAGUGGCAGCUGCGGAGCGACCGGUGCGUAGGGAUUCGUGCGUAGUGGUUGCUCAAGCGCGCGUGCCGUGUGCGCAUCUGCGUCGCGGUUGACAGCUGUGCAGUGUCAAGGUUGCCGCCGCAGCCGUGGCGUGGCGAGUUUCGCGUCAGUGAAGUGCUCAGCUCUCUGCGCCACUGCGAAGUGAUCCGUGUGUGACAGUGUUACCGACACACUAGUCUAAAUGAAGAACGAGGAUUUCCGCUUCUACAAGAUCUGUCGGGUCUAAAAAGUCGCUGGAUUAGGAGCGCUAGACACAAAUUUUGGAUGGAAAGCUCACGCUUUGAAUUGAUGUUAAAGCGAAUGUGGAAGAUUUACUUAAUCAGUGCUCCUUAGGUGGUUCAAGUCGCUUGUCUACUCAACAUACGCAGACUGAGCGUGCAGUAGUGGUUCAGCAGCUACGAGAAUCUGUCGCCUAGCUUUCGUCUGAGGAAAAGAGUGGCGUGCCGUUUGAAAAUUGUAGUGCUUCUUGGUGAACCGAUUUAGAUCAGUGUGAAAGCAUUGAUUGACUGUCAUCUGUUGUUUCGGCGAGAAAGUGGAAGUGAGAAUGUCCAACUGGGAUCGACUGCCGAUGUAUCUCUAAAUUCGUCGCUGGUGGACGUGUCGAAUCGCCUUGGAAUGGACUGCCUCGUAAAUUUUACAGUGAAAUCGGGAAGAGCAAACUAGUUUGAUUUGUGAUCAUUGAGUGGUCGAGCUCCACGCGAGGUGCAGAGCACCACUGUAGGUCGACAGUGGGCGGUUGGGACAAGGUUCUGUUUCAGGAGUAAGACUGUCCUGAAUCAAGUCCUAGAAUCACCAGUGGAUCAACUUUGGCAGUACACUUGUGUUUUGGCCUCAGGUUGGGUAUCAGCAGGAGGUGGUGCAGUGUCGGGUGCCACGUUGCUAGUAGAUCGUACCCGGAGGACAACCGCACACUGGUGCUAGCUUUCGGCACCAGACACUGGGAUCCCCAGUGAGUCAACUUAGGGACUACACUGGUGAUUUGGCUAACGGCGGGAGGUGGUGCAGUGUCGGGUGAGGGUGUGAUGGUGAUCGUGGAGUGCUGGUGCCGGGGGAGGAGGCGCCGGUGACGCGAUGCGGACCGCCGGGUGCCCGCCGUGCGCAGACCUGGGGGCGAAGCUGCGCUGCCGCGUCUGCGAGCGCCUGCAGCAGCAGCACCAGCAGCUGGUG
This is a long non-coding RNA of Schistocerca gregaria, 1326 nucleotides long. RefSeq lists it as uncharacterized. Lineage: Eukaryota; Metazoa; Arthropoda; Insecta; Orthoptera; Acrididae. The record is from RefSeq and is a predicted model, not a curated record. The transcript is spliced from 3 exons.